This 497-nucleotide ribosomal RNA is filed under the name uncultured bacterium. Its description in RNAcentral is "partial 16S ribosomal RNA". It matches the Rfam family "Bacterial small subunit ribosomal RNA", at positions 28 to 507 of the family's 1533-position model. The record is from RNAcentral.
GAUGAACGCUGGCGGCGUGCCUAAUACAUGCAAGUCGAGCGAACAGAUGAGGAGCUUGCUCCUCUGACGUUAGCGGCGGACGGGUGAGCAACACGUGGAUAACCUACCUAUAAGACUGGGAUAACUUCGGGAAACCGGAGCUAAUACCGGAUAAUAUAUUGAACCGCAUGGUUCAAUAGUGAAAGACGGUUUUGCUGUCACUUAUAGAUGGAUCCGCGCCGCAGUAGCUAGUUGGUAAGGUAACGGCUUACCAAGGCAACGAUGCGUAGCCGACCUGAGAGGGUGGUCGGCCACACUGGAACUGAGACACGGUCCAGACUCCUACGGGAGGCAGCAGUAGGGAAUCUUCCGCAAUGGGCGAAAGCCUGACGGAGCAACGCCGCGUGAGUGAUGAAGGUCUUCGGAUCGUAAAACUCUGUUAUUAGGGAAGAACAAAUGUGUAAGUAACUAUGCACGUCUUGACGGUACCUAAUCAGAAAGCCACGGCUAACUACGUG